UAGGGAAUCUUCGGCAAUGGACGGAAGUCUGACCGAGCAACGCCGCGUGAGUGAAGAAGGUUUUCGGAUCGUAAAGCUCUGUUGUUAGAGAAGAACGUCGGCAGGAGUGGAAAAUCUACCAAGUGACGGUAACUAACCAGAAAGGGACGGCUAACCACGUGCCAGCAGCCGCGGUGAUACGUAGGUUCCGAGCGUUGUCCGGACUUAUUGGGCGUAAAGCGAGCGCAGGCGGUUCUUUAAGUCUGAAGUUAAAGGCAGUGGUUUAACCAUUGUACGCUUUGGAAACUGGAGGACUUGAGUGCAGCAGGGGAGAGUGGGAUUCCAUGUGUAGCGGUGAAAUGCGUAGCUAAAUGGAAGAACACCGGUGGCGCAAGCUGCUCUCUGGUCUAUAACUGACGCUGAGGCUCGAAAGCGUGGGGAGCAAACAGG
Molecule: ribosomal RNA, 429 nt
Filed under: Bacillota bacterium
Lineage: Bacteria; Bacillati; Bacillota
Description: Firmicutes bacterium partial 16S ribosomal RNA
Rfam family: Bacterial small subunit ribosomal RNA
Source: RNAcentral